UGGGGGGACCAUCCUCCAAGCCUAAGUACUCCUUAUCGACCGAUAGUGAACAAGUACCGUGAGGGAAAGGUGAAAAGCACCCCGACGAGGGGAGUGAAACAGUACCUGAAACCGAACGCCUACAAUCAGUCGGAGCCCCCUUGCGGGGUGACGGCGUACCUUUUGUAUAAUGGGUCAUCGACUUGGUCUAUCUAGCAAGCUUAAGCCGUUAGGUGUAGGCGCAGCGAAAGCGAGUCUGAAUAGGGCGCAUGAGUUAGAUGGAUCAGACCCGAAACCGAGUGAUCUAGGCAUGGCCAGGUUGAAGGUUGGGUAACACCAACUGGAGGACCGAACCCACAUCCGUUGAAAAGGAUCGGGAUGAGCUGUGCCUAGGGGUGAAAGGCCAAUCAAACUCGGAAAUAGCUGGUUCUCCGCGAAAUCUAUUUAGGUAGAGCGUUAGAUGAAUACCAUCGGGGGUAGAGCACUGGAUGGGCUAGGGGGUCUCACCGACUUACCAAACCUAACCAAACUCCGAAUACCGAUGAGUAAUAUCUGGCAGACACACUACGGGUGCUAAGGUCCGUAGUGGAAAGGGAAACAGCCCUGACCGCCAGCUAAGGUCCCUAAGUUAUGGCUAAGUGGGAAAGGAUGUGAGAGUGCAUAGACAACCAGGAUGUUGGCUUAGAAGCAGCCAUCAUUUAAAGAAAGCGUAACAGCUCACUGGUCAAGCGCUCUUGCGCCGAAAAUGUACCGGGGCUAAAGCCAUACACCGAAGCUGCGGAUGCACAUUUAUGUGCGUGGUAGCGGAGCGUUCUGUAAGCCUGUGAAGGGUGACCCGCGAGGGCACUUGGAGGUAUCAGAAGUGAGAAUGCUGACAUGAGUAGCGAUAAAGAGGGUGAGAGACCCUCUCGCCGAAAGACCAAGGGUUCCUGCGUAAAGCUAAUCUGCGCAGGGUUAGUCGGCCCCUAAGGCGAGGGCGAAAGCCGUAGUCGAUGGGAAACAGGUUAAUAUUCCUGUACCUGGAGGUAGUGACGAAUCCCGUGUGUUGUUUACCCUUAUUGGAUUGGGUAGGCCGCGAAGGGGUUCCAGGAAAUAGCUCCUCCAUUAUAGACCGUACCCCAAACCGACACAGGUGGUCAGGUAGAGAAUACCAAGGCGCUUGAGAGAACUCGGGUAAAGGAACUAGGCAAAAUGGUGCCGUAACUUCGGGAGAAGGCACGCUGGUGGUAGGUGAGACCCCUUGCGGGUGGAGCUGACGCCAGUCGAAGAUACCAGGCCCCUGCGACUGUUUAUUAAAAACACAGCACUGUGCAAACACGAAAGUGGACGUAUACGGUGUGACGCCUGCCCGGUGCCGGAAGGUUAAUUGAUGGGGUUAGCAUUCGUGCGAAGCUCUUGAUCGAAGCCCCGGUAAACGGCGGCCGUAACAAUAACGGUCCUAAGGUAGCGAAAUUCCUUGUCGGGUAAGUUCCGACCCGCACGAAAGGUGUAACGAUCUGCGUACUGUCUCGGAGAGAGACUCGGCGAAAUAGACUUGUCUGUGAAGAUGCGGACUACCUGCACCUGGACAAAAAGACCCUAUGAAGCUUUACUGUAGCUUGAGAUUGGCUCCGGGCUUUAUUUGCGCAGGAUAGGUGGGAGGCGUUGAAAAUUUCCUUGCGGGGGAAUUUGAGCCAUUGGUGAGAUACCACUCUAAUAAAGCUAGGAUUCUAACCCUAUACCGUUAUCCGGUUAGGGAACAGUCUCAGGUGGUCAGUUUGACUGGGGCGGUCGCCUCCUAAAAGGUAACGGAGGCGUGCAAAGGUUUCCUCAGACUGGUCGGAAAUCAGUCGAAGAGUGUAAAGGCAUAAGGAAGCUUGAUUGUGAGACCUACAAGUCGAACAAAGACGAAAGUCGGCCUUAGUGAUCCGGCGGUACCAAGUGGAAGGGCCGUCGCUCAACGGAUAAAAGUUACUCUAGGGAUAACAGGCUGAUCUCCCCCAAGAGUUCAUAUCGACGGGGAGGUUUGGCACCUCGAUGUCGGCUCGUCGCAUCCUGGGGCGGUAGUACGUCCCAAGGGUUGGGCUGUUCGCCCAUGAAAGCGGCACGCGAGCUGGGUUCAGAACGUCGUGAGACAGUUCGGUCCAUAUCCGGUGUAGGCGUUAGAGUAUUGAGAGGAUCUCUUCUUAGUACGAGAGGACCGGGAGAGACGUACCUCUGGUGUGCCAGUUAUCGUGCCAACGGUAGACGCUGGGUAGCCAUGUACGGUAAGGAUAACCGCUGAAAGCAUCUAAGUGGGAAGCCCACCUCAAGAUGAGUACUCUUAC
Molecule: ribosomal RNA, 2285 nt
Filed under: Emiliania huxleyi
Lineage: Eukaryota; Haptophyta; Isochrysidales; Noelaerhabdaceae
Description: partial Bacterial large subunit ribosomal RNA
Rfam family: Bacterial large subunit ribosomal RNA
Source: RNAcentral